CAAUAGCGUAUAUUAAAGUUGUUGCAGUUAAAAAGCUCGUAGUUGGAUUUCUGGUGGGAGCGAUCGGUCUGGCGCUUAGCGCGAGUACUUGCAUCGUCUCCGGCCAUCCUUGGGGAGAGUCUGUCUGGCAUUAAGUUGUCGGGCAGAGGAUCCUCAUCGUUUACUGUGAAAAAAUUAGAGUGUUCAAAGCAGGCUUAUGCCGUUGAAUAUAUUAGCAUGGAAUAAUAAGAUAGGACUUUGGUACUAUUUUGUUGGUGUGCGCACCAAAGUAAUGAUUAAUAGGGACAGUUGGGGGUAUUCGUAUUCCGUUGUCAGAGGUGAAAUUCUUGGAUUUACGGAAGACGAACUACUGCGAAAGCAUUUACCAAGGAUGUUUUCAUUAA
Molecule: ribosomal RNA, 383 nt
Filed under: uncultured eukaryote
Lineage: Eukaryota
Description: partial 18S ribosomal RNA
Rfam family: Eukaryotic small subunit ribosomal RNA
Source: RNAcentral